Long non-coding RNA from Coregonus clupeaformis (lake whitefish), 719 nucleotides. RefSeq lists it as uncharacterized. The record is from RefSeq and is a predicted model, not a curated record. The transcript has 3 exons. NCBI's taxonomy places the organism in Eukaryota, Metazoa, Chordata, Actinopteri, Salmoniformes, Salmonidae.
GGUCAUCACAUGCAAUUUCAGGUCAACUUAAUUUAAUAAUGCAAUGAAUGCAAUAUUCUUGUUCUUUAAACAGCAUCAGCGUUGGACCCGCGAUUUAAAGAACUGCCCUACCUGGAAAAAGAGGACAGAGAACAGGUCUACACAAAACUGUUUUUUGAGGCAGAAGUGUCCCACCAGAUGCAAGCAAUGGGAAAUCAGGAGGAAGACGAGGGAAGCUCAAGCACAAAGCUGUCAGGAUUCAAUGAAGAGACCACAGCUCCAAAUGAGUCACCUCCUUGUAAGAAGAAAGCCUUAGAUGCGCUGUUGGCAAUUCCUUCACCCAAAGAGAAAGAAAAUCCACAAGCGAGACAGCCAGAGCAGAGGUGUUAAGGUACCGAGCAAAAGAUGCGUUGCCUUUGACUGAAAAUGCCAUGAAGUGGUGGAGAUCUCAGGAGAAAGAGCUACCUGUACUUUCCACCCUUGCUAAACGGUACCUGUGCAUUCCAGGCACCAGUGUGCCAGCAGAACGAGUUUUUAGUACUACUGGCGACAUAGUGAACGCACAGAGAAGUGUUCUGCGGCCAGAUCAUGUUGAUCAGUUGAUAUUUUUGAAAAAAAAUCUGUAGUCAUUGAAGAGUAGCCUAGUAGGUUACACUUGAUAUUUUGUUGAAUAUUGUUUGUUUAUUAAAAUGAGAGUAGUAGCAGGUUCAUCCACUGCUCAUUCAACCUGAAGAAAUGUU